UACGUGGGGGGCAAGCGUUGUCCGGAUUCAUUGGGCGUAAAGAGCGUGUAGGCGGCCAGGUAGGUCGGUUGUGAAAACUGGAGGCUCAACCUUCAGACGUCGACCGAAACCAUCUGGCUAGAGUCCGGGAGAGGAGAGUGGAAUUCCUGGUGUAGCGGUGAAAUGCGCAGAUAUCAGGAGGAACACCAAUGGCGAAGGCAGAUCUCUGGGCCGUAACUGACGCUGAGGAGCGAAAGCAUGGGGAGCGAACAGG
Molecule: ribosomal RNA, 253 nt
Filed under: uncultured bacterium
Lineage: Bacteria
Description: partial 16S ribosomal RNA
Rfam family: Bacterial small subunit ribosomal RNA
Source: RNAcentral